GAUCCCUUGGCCCAGUUGGUUAAGGCAUCGUGCUAAUAACGCGGGGAUCGGCAGUUCGAACCUGCCAGGGAUCA
Ogataea arabinofermentans is the source of this 74-nucleotide non-coding RNA. Lineage: Eukaryota; Fungi; Ascomycota; Pichiomycetes; Pichiales; Pichiaceae. The record is from the annotation of a GenBank genome assembly.